CCAAGGCCUACUACAAUGACCCGAUGAUGUCUACUACUCCAAGGCAAGACAGAAUUGAAUAUUGUACAAACUCUGUUACUCUGCCCUGGUGUCCCAUUUGUGGAGAGUCAUUGUAAUGUAUGGACAGAAUUGAACCCUUCUGUAACACUCAAAAUUUUAGUAGCUAGUGGAAAAAGGGAAAGCAUGAAGGCUUUGGAUUUCUUUUCUAUCACAGCCAUAAACAACCCCAAUGGCCUCCCACGAAGUUGAUAAUGCAGAGCUGGGGUCAGCCUCUGCCCAUGGUACCCCAGGCAGUGAGGCGGGACCAGAAGAGCUGAAUACUUCUGUCUACCAGCCCAUAGAUGGAUCACCAGAUUAUCAGAAAGCAAAAUUACAAGUUCUUGGGUCUAUUCAA
RNAcentral lists this long non-coding RNA (394 nucleotides) under Homo sapiens (human). RNAcentral describes it as "membrane spanning 4-domains A3 (ENSG00000284903.3)". Lineage: Eukaryota; Metazoa; Chordata; Mammalia; Primates; Hominidae. The record is from RNAcentral.